This 878-nucleotide ribosomal RNA is filed under the name Rhodococcus sp. (in: high G+C Gram-positive bacteria). Its description in RNAcentral is "bacterial SSU rRNA". It matches the Rfam family "Bacterial small subunit ribosomal RNA". Lineage: Bacteria; Bacillati; Actinomycetota; Actinomycetes; Mycobacteriales; Nocardiaceae. The record is from RNAcentral.
GGCUUUUUUUUUUUUAAGUUUUUUCCCCUCGCCAGGACGAACGCUGGCGGCGUGCUUAACACAUGCAAGUCGAGCGGUAAGGCCUUUCGGGGUACACGAGCGGCGAACGGGUGAGUAACACGUGGGUGAUCUGCCCUGCACUUCGGGAUAAGCCUGGGAAACUGGGUCUAAUACCGGAUAUGACCUCCUAUCGCAUGGUGGGUGGUGGAAAGAUUUAUCGGUGCAGGAUGGGCCCGCGGCCUAUCAGCUUGUUGGUGGGGUAAUGGCCUACCAAGGCGACGACGGGUAGCCGACCUGAGAGGGUGACCGGCCACACUGGGACUGAGACACGGCCCAGACUCCUACGGGAGGCAGCAGUGGGGAAUAUUGCACAAUGGGCGAAAGCCUGAUGCAGCGACGCCGCGUGAGGGAUGACGGCCUUCGGGUUGUAAACCUCUUUCAGCAGGGACGAAGCGCAAGUGACGGUACCUGCAGAAGAAGCACCGGCUAACUACGUGCCAGCAGCCGCGGUAAUACGUAGGGUGCAAGCGUUGUCCGGAAUUACUGGGCGUAAAGAGUUCGUAGGCGGUUUGUCGCGUCGUUUGUGAAAACCAGCAGCUCAACUGCUGGCUUGCAGGCGAUACGGGCAGACUUGAGUACUGCAGGGGAGACUGGAAUUCCUGGUGUAGCGGUGAAAUGCGCAGAUAUCAGGAGGAACACCGGUGGCGAAGGCGGGUCUCUGGGCAGUAACUGACGCUGAGGAACGAAAGCGUGGGUAGCGAACAGGAUUAGAUACCCUGGUAGUCCACGCCGUAAACGGUGGGCGCUAGGUGUGGGUUCCUUCCACGGAAUCCGUGCCGUAGCUAACGCAUAAGCGCCCCGCUGGAUACCCGAACCUC